This 123-nucleotide ribosomal RNA is filed under the name Microtus ochrogaster (prairie vole). The record is from RNAcentral. Lineage: Eukaryota; Metazoa; Chordata; Mammalia; Rodentia; Cricetidae.
UCUGACUGUACAUACCUUCCUGAAUGCACCUGAACCUGGAAGAUGAAAGAAGCUAAGCAGGGCUGGCCUCAUUAGUGUUGGAUGGGAGAUCAACUGUUCUCACCUGAGAUAGGUAGGUUAGGC